Long non-coding RNA from Vicia villosa (hairy vetch), 1403 nucleotides. RefSeq lists it as uncharacterized. The record is from RefSeq and is a predicted model, not a curated record. Lineage: Eukaryota; Viridiplantae; Streptophyta; Magnoliopsida; Fabales; Fabaceae. The transcript is spliced from 5 exons.
CUAGCUUGGGCUGAUGCAUUUGUUGUCAUAGCUGAUUCUGUUAGUAUGAUAAGUGAAGCUUGCAGCACAGGAAAGCCCGUUUACGGUGUGGGGUCUGAGCGUUGUAAAUGGAAGUUUGUCGAAUUUCACAAAUCAUUGAGAGAGCGGGGAGUUGUAGCUAGUUUAUCCUUCUAUGUUUUGUAGCUAGUUUUUUGUUUCCUAUAAUGAUGAUUGUGGCUUGCUUCGUUGUCGGUCAUUUCUAGGUUUUCCGAAAGGAUGAUAGAGCCAGUCUUGAUAGGAAGGAGUUGUUUAAGAACACUUUGAGAAAAGCAGCUUAUGCAUGGAAAAAGAUUAUUGAGCUUCGUCUUACGGAAAAGGAAGCUAAUAAGCUUAGAAACUUUGUGGAUCAGCCUGCUUUUACAGAUCUUCAUUGGGCAUAAUUCUAAUUAAUUUAUGGUACUAUGGUAUACGUGAGGCAGGCAAUUGUGGCUGAUGCAUCGACUGCUUUGUCACGAGCAGUUUGCAUUGCUACUAGAUAUAGUGUUGUUCGAAGACAGUUUGGGUCUCAGAAUGGUAGUCUUGAAACACAGGAUAAAUUUGAAGGUGAAGAAUUUUGAGAACUCAACAACAAUAGAUAUAGCAGGCAGUGGUGAGAUCAAAGGUAUAUUACUAAGUGCUGGAGUCCUUGCCAUGGUUGUUGGCAAUGAUACACUCUUAGCUGGAGCAGAGAUUAUUUAAAUCGCAUGAUGGUGUAAUUUUUGCAUGGAGAGGCAGUUCUAAAUCCAAUUCCCCUUUUGAACUGGUUGCAUCACUAUGCGGACACACUAAAUCUGUUGUUUGCCUGGCUGUUGGAUGUAACAAGAUGUUGUACUCAGGAUCCAAGGAUCAAAGCAUCAAGGUUUGGGACCUAGACAAAUUUGAGUGUAAAAUGACACUCAAUGCGCAUACAGGAGAAGUCACAUCCCUUAUUUGUUGGGACAAAUUCUUGCUAUCCGGUUCAUCAGACUGCGCUAUCAAGGUCUGGUAUAAAACCGUCGAGGAUACUUUGGAAGUUGCAUAUUCACACAAUGUAGAAAACAUUUUUUAACAUUUUUUAAGAAAUUAGAGGUUUGUUGUGUGGCUCUGAAUUACUAUAUGAUGAAUAAUUUUGUAGACUUUGCUUGAGAAGAUGAAGUCGGUGUACACGAAUGUAGAAGGUCUUCCUCCGGAUCGAAUUGUGGAAAGCAAUUGCUUCUCCAGGGCGUGGUAUUUUGGCCAUGGAUGAAUCCAAUGCUACAUGUGGAAAGCGGUUGGAUUCAAUUGGACUAGAGAACACCGAAGCUAAUCGUCAAGUAUGGCGUAAAAUUAUAUAUGAAGAAAGUGUUAUGACUUGGUUAAAAUAUAAUUUUUAUGUGUAUGAUUUUAUAGUACUUGAAAUAUUAUGA